UUUUGUCAUAAGGCUGUCUGUGAACCUUGCUUACAAAUUAGAAUCAAAUCUGUUUUAUUUUAAUUUUUUUUCCAACUAUCUUCUAAACCAGAAGUAAUGAAAGUAAUCUUAUGUGGUCUGUUUUCCUGGCACUUUAACAGAAGGCUAGAAAUAGCAGAAAUCUGAGAAGAAUCUUUUUCAUAAGUACUUUCUAUCUUCCAGGAGUCAGAGUCAUGGAUUAGUAUCCCAUUGAGCUAGGCACGAGGCCUGUUUUGGAGAAUGAGGCUGCUCCUACCACACUGAUUAAAAUGUGACAGUUAAAAGUCAGACUAACAGACGAAGCUUGGGAAGAAUCCAUCACACCCCUGCCCAGGUCUGCAGCUUGGCAUAGAUCACCUCAGGAUGACUGAAAAAACCCUUCACAGCAGCUUCACUGCUCUGACCUCUGCUGUCCUACUGUUAUUUAAAGGAACUGUUUGAUGACCUGUGGCAAGUGGAGUAGAUGUUCUACGCACUGUUUGCGAUUAAACAUCUAAUUCAUAGUAGCCCACAGUGUGAGGAACAGCUCACAGAUGGUUCCAGAUGGUCCUUUCCAGUUCUGUGUCUUAUUAUGGUUGAUGGGUACCAACAGCAAAAGGGCAUUUACUCACCAACCUUCUUUGGGAGUGAAUCAGGAAUGAGUACUGGGGCAAGGUGCUUGACUUCAGACCAGACCCUAUAAGGACCUAUCUGUGUGGCUCAACAACUUACCUACAGAAGUCUAGGUGCUGUUACAGUGAAUAAAAUUUGGCAAAGUGGAGGCACCUGAAGUUCCUAAUUAUUUUUAAUUUAUUUUGUGAUUUCAUUUACUCUUCAGUAGGUGUGGGCAAAAAUAUAUGCAGUUUCUCUAGGUAAGUUUGUAUCUUCCAUCUUUAUACCAUCAGAUUUAGAGUACACUGAUAAAAAAAUAUUUUCUUAACUUUAAAGAGAGUUUGAAUCCCUUCACUAUUCCUUGAUCCCUCCUAAAUGUUCCUUUUCGUAGAUGUUAUUUGCACUUUUCAAAUUUAUUACUAAAAAUACAUGUGCCCAUACACGUACACCUGCACCUCUAAUUAUUGUUUGCACUUAUUAUUGAUUAUAUUGAUUAUAUUGAUCUAAUUAUUGAUUACACUUACGGGCUAUGUGUUUUUAGGUGACCUGGUAAAAACACGCACUGUAAAAUAUAGUUUUCACAUGUAACAUUGAUAACAUAUCCAUUUCAACACCAUUUUCAAACACAUCUUACAGAAGUAUGUUUAAAUUCUACACAAUUUAAAAGGUAGAUGACUGCUUUCCUCUAAAGAAUAUAUUAUUCUGUGGGUAGGUGAGCCACUUGCUCUUAAUUUCUUAUCACAAAUCAUUCUUUUGUCUCUUGAUAGUUACUUUGUUUUUUUUCUAGAACACUUCCAUCAAGUUAACUGCAAUGAGGUUUCAGAACUACAGUAAUUCAGGAGAUGUCAAAAGCCACAUGAGCAUCUGUGUCCUGAUCUUACAAGGCACUAAGCGCCCUGAGGACAAUCCAGAAAACCCAUUUAUCUGUACACACAGCCCUGUAUCAUUUGCAGCCCAUGACUGUAGCUCUGACUCCAGUGAAAUCAAAGUCAGAUCUUCCUUUAGUGCUCCGUAAUGCUGGGGCUUCACUCCGCCAACCUUUAAUCAAUGCUUUGCAGCUGGGAAGAGGGAUCCUUAUCUACAGUGGCUUGGUGACAUUACACCACAGGGUGGUGCCCCAGUGGUGAACCUUCUCAAGAACCUAGCACACAUUUGGGGCCAAGAGCAUGGCUCUAUCUUGUAUCUUCCCAGACACAUAAGUAGACAUCGUCAAGCCAGCUUACUGGGUUGGCCCUGCCUCAGAAAUGUUCUCAGUGACUUUUCCAGGCACUAGCUAUAGGAAGCCAUCAAGAUGCUAAUUUAGGACUCAGAACACCAAGUAUUGGUAGGUACCGAGUAUACUCUAGGUACUGGCCGUUCCCAUGGGAUGUUUUCUUUUUACAAAGAAAAGCAGGGAGAAAACAGCGGUGGGGAUGCUGCAAAGGAGAGCAGCUGAGUAUGCCUGAGUCCUGCCUGAGUGUGUGAAAACAAGGAUGGGCUCACCCCAGCCUCUACGUUCACAGAAGGGGUGACUAAGCAAGGACUCCACCCUAUUUCAGAAAGGCUGUGAUUUUCAAUUCCUUUCAAGAGUACCCGUGUCUGUGGUUCAGACAUUCUUCUGCUGAAACACUGGUCCUUGUUCCAUCACAUUGUCCUGGUGGGGGAGUUAAGUUUGAAGUGUGGAACUGCUCCCCUGAAAUCCCAGCUGAAGUUCCCAGGAGUGUGUGUGAGCCUCAGGCAGCAUGGCAGGGCUGGAUGCCCUGCAGGGUUUCACCUCUCCAGAGAGGGGUCAGAGGUGCCCCAGGGCCAUGAGAAGCACAAGGAGAGGCCAUUUGCCUCGGAAAUGGCUGGGUUGGAAGCAGGUGGGACACCAUGGGUGGAGCCCACUCACAGCAGACUGGUGACCUUACACGAUGGGACCGAGCCAGGUUGUGACAGAUGGUAUCCCUGGAUCUGAGACUGGAUCCUGGCUCUUACUGUUUAGUUAAUUAAUUGGGAGGAACAUACAAAUUAACUUGGUAAAUUUUGAAUACAGUUUAAACGCCUCUGGUUUUGCAGAUAGCUUGAAUCUGAUGAUGAGUACAAUGUAAGUUGCUGGUCAAUUUUAGUGUUUUUCUCCUGGCUAUUAUCAGUUGAUUUGCAGAGAUAAUUCUGGAAGAAUGCUACUAAAAACCCUAUAAUGAAGCUGGUGAGGUUUAUUAGAUAGGCAGUACUAAUGGGAUAGAGAUAUUACUGGCACUGAUAUGUGCCUCAGCAAGUCCCUGGAGUAAAACUGUCUUGGUGGAGUGCAUUUUUCCAAAGCAAACAUAAUCUCUAAAGUGCCGUAUCUUAUAUCAGGUAGGCUGGAAGUCUGGUUUCUGAAGCUGCCGCCUGAAAUAUUUUACACUGUUAAGACAGAAAGAAAAAGAGACAGAAAUACCCCUAUACCCACCCUGCUGAUAGAUUUCCCUGUGACAAUGGGAGAAAUGGCAAUCUGGGUUUAUCGCUGUGCAGUGGGUGCAGGCUGCCUCUCAGGAAGGGCUGUGCCUGUCAGAUGUGAAGUGGCAUUUUGUGGAGCUGUAGCCACGCAGGGAAACAGGGAUAGCAGGGCAGGGUUGAGCUUUAGCCGUGAAGCCUCUUCGUGCAGGCACAAGCUUGCAGGCAGUCAAUUGUCCCAGCUAAACCUCCAGAGGAAUUGCCUCCCCUUUGGUGAGCUUCGAGAUACUAUUGACACUCUAAAGUAUUUCUUUUUUAUCUCAGCAGUGCAGCAAAAGGAGCUGCCACAGCCCACUCUCAGGGCAAAAGCCCCAUCCUCUUCUGUCACUUCUUUUAAGAUGUGGGUGAUGCUUCUGCUCCAAGAUAGUCCAUUUACCUCCACAGUGGCUUUUUCCAGCAGGUUUCCAGGAAUGAGAACAGCUGGAGAAACUGAAUGUUAUGCUUCAUUGAUGGGGGAAAUUCUCUGUACUGCAAUAUUAGUACUCACUGCCUGUUGUGGUCACCAAGCACUGUCAUCAGCAAGGUUUCAAGGGGAUGGUAAGGAAGUGGGAUGUACUGAAGCUCUCACGCUUGAGCAAUACAAGUCCAGAAGGGUAAUGCGGGGAGUAUGUUUAUCAUGUAAACAGUGAAAUGUCUGUAAAAGGGGAAGUUUUAUGCAGUGAUGGGGAUGUGGGAAAUGAGAAACCACGAAUUAAUGAGAAACCCUACCGAGGUUAAAGUAAUUUACUGAUUAAUCUUGAUUUCACUUCUUUUGGUCAGAGUGGAAGGGAGAGACUCUUAGGCAAAUAUAAAAUACAUAGCAUUGCGUGAUAAAUCUUUUAUUGACAGGGAUCUGAGAUUAAUCAUGACUAAAAUUUAUCAGUACAAAUAUCUUAUGCUGUACCAUUGCACAAGGUAUUUUGGAUGUCCCACCUGGACAGCUGUUUCAUACACAUUUUUUGAAACAUUACUGGAAAUCCUCUCUUCUAUGUUUACCUGUAGGGCUUCAGUAGGGUAUUGAUUCUCCAGGGGAUUUUGGAGAAUCAAAAAAAAAAAAAAGUCACUAAAAAUACCAGUGCAGUAGUGGUGUGAUUAAAUGCAACCCAAAUUUCCAGUCUGAUUUCUUGGGACCUUCCAAGUAUAGUUACAAGGUUGUGUAGAAAGCUAGGAAUCUCCCCUUCACUUCUGCCCACAUCCAGCCUUCAAGGUCAUGUAUAAAAUUACUUCCCUCUGAUACCAGGAUUUAAUGUGAUUGUUUCUUUUUACCAAGGCAAGAUUUCUGAGGAUGAUUUCUCCAAUUUGAGGAAAUGCUGAGAAUAGCAGCAUGGUAGAAGAUAGCAUCAUUUUUAGGAAUGGAUAUGAGACACAAUUCCUCAAGUGUUUUUUAGUCAACCUCCUGGAAAUGGACAGUUGAUACAAUUUAUGAUAAAAUGCCCAUCACUGGGUAUAUAGACAUUGGGGUGAAAACUGUAGUUCAGAACUGUGCCAUUUGAGAGAGAGAGAGAGAGGAAGGACGGAAGGAAGGACGGAAGGAAGGACGGAAGGAAGGACGGAAGGACGGAAGGACGGAAGGACGGAAGGAAGGAAGGAAGGAAGGAAGGAAGGAAGGAAGGAAGGAAGGAAGGAAGGAAGGAAGGAAAAGAGCUUGCCACGAAAAUUGUUUUCUUUUUAUUUCCCAAAGUAAAAUUCUCAAAUUAGAGCAGCAUAUGCUGCCACAAAGCCUAUGUUAAAUGAUAGAUUAGUUACGGGAUGAAUAUCCAUUAUCUUAUGAAUCAUCUAGAAAGGAAUGGGUGUUUUAUAGGGAAGAGUUUAUAGGGAAGAGAAACUAGGAACUGCCCCACUGUGGUUUCCAAUUGGAAGCAGCCUUGUGCUCUAAUCCUGGCACAUUGUGAGAUGCCAGGCUGUUACCAUAUCAAUGCUAUUUUGAUGCUUUGCUUGAGCAAACUGGCCUUCUAAUCUGAUUGUCCUUCAUUCAUUAUAUUUUAUUAUAAACUGGUUUAGAAAAUGUCAAACUUAAUAUGCCAAGAGCAAUCAGCAUUUUUCUAGAUAUACCAAGAUAUUGGUAUGUACAAUUUCAAAUAGCAGGAGCUGGAUUCUCAUAAACAACUAUAAGCUGCAUUUCCAUUCCAUACAAAAUUUCAUAUAAAUUAACUUCCAUCUGCUUUAUCUGCCAUGUUUUUCAUGUUUCUUUCUCAUUCUAGUCCAUUUUUUUGUUCAUUGUAAGGACAAAUAAAAUAAAAGCUUUCAUUUAUAUAUCUAAGUAUAUAAUAUAUUUAAUUAAAUAAGCAUACAAUUUGGGGCCCCAUGGUUCUGAAGCAUGACUUAUAUUACCAUAGUUGUAGCAGACCUCUGGAAAGAUGAGUUAGAAGAAUUACCUGACAGCUUGAUUCACUAACACAAAUCACAGAAGGGAAAAACUUGUGGCAGUAAGAAGCCCUGAUGAGCUCCAGGAUAAAGAAGUGGGAAAGAAGUUUCCCCAGGAACUUUCACCUGAUCUUACCAGGGUAAGAAGUAAGAAUGCUUUCACAGAGAGAACUGGAAAAAGGGAAAGUGCAAAAAACAAGUCGCAACUCUUCCAGACUUCUGUAGAUGAAGAAAACAACCACCAUAUUAUUGUAUAAGGUGUGUAUCAGAGAACAGUUUGACACCAGAUUUGGCAUCCCACAGGCCAUCUUAGGGCCUUUCUAAUUGCCCUGUGGUUUAGCCAGCACUAUUAUGAUGCUGGAGCAUCUAAGCUAAAAUGAAAGUUAACCUGGCUAUUCCAUCUCCCAAAGGCAAAUUCUCCAUUUAAAUGUUUGGCCUUCAAGAUGAGAGCAAGGCAAAAUCCCCAUAUGUGUGAGUAGAUUUAUUUAUUCUGAAGGUAUCUUCUCAUGGAGAAAUCAGGGCAUAUUUAGCUCACACAUAAUUGCCAUGCAUACGUUGUCUCUAGUGUGCAGCUGGCUUGCAUUUGACCAGCUCAACACAAGGGAAAAAAGAAAAAUUGUUUGUUGCAUCUGUCCCUUUGGACUUGGCUCAGUUGCUUUUACUUGUUGCAAUGUAAGGUAAUUUUUGCAGUAUUACUGUAUAAAUAAGAUUGAAGGAAAUAAGAAAAUUUAGGAUUAUAUCAUGAAUGUUAUUCCUGUUGUGUGGUCACGGUACACUUGUAUUUUAUGACCAAAUUGUAAAUUCCUUGAAAUUACAAUGUCACUAUAAUCUGAAUGCACAAAGUAAUGCAUUAACAGUAUAGAAGCAUGUGAGAAAGAGACAAUAUAUCCACUCCAAUUGCAUCAUAGGAGAAAAAAUAAGCAUUUGGGAAAUAAAUUUUCUUCUACACACAAGAAGUAACAGAGGGGAAUUUUAAAAAUGAAGUGUCUGCACAGAUUGAAAGCAAAACUUUUAAAACUCUUCAGAACUCUAACAGAUGAGACAUGACCACAAUGUUAACAACUCCUAUCAAAUUCUAUGUCCAAAUAUUUUUAACUUUCCAGGUGAUACAGAUGCAUGGGUCUACUCCAGAGCAUCAGAGUUCACAGUGUUUCACGUCCAGCAGUGCAGUUCUGACUUCAUGUGUAUAAGCCAAGAGAGUACUUUCUGGAUGUAAAUCCUGCUUAGGUCAAGGUCAGGUCUGAGUUCAAAGAAGACUUAAGUUUCACUUCAGAUUUGUUUACUGUGAAACCUUGCCAGACCUCUAUUGUCCAUUAGGUCCUCUAUGUCUUUUAAUGCAACAGUUCAGUGAUUGUGAUUAAUUCACAGGAGCCCACAAGGAGCCUCUUGAUCAUGUUUUACCACGUAAUUGAAAAUAAAAUUGAGAGACUUGUUGUCUUCAAAUGAUGUUGAUGGAGAAGUGGUAUCCCUGGGACUCAUAAAAAUGUUCCUAUCUGUAUCACAUUUUGUAACAAUAAAAAAUCUGAUGGAGAAAACCCAUUUCCAUGUUCCAGCUCCUCCCUGCUAAUAUCUCCCAUUAUGCAAUGCUGUCAUUAUAGUUGCUGGGUCAUAUUAACCUAAAAUCUCUGAUAAUCCCUCUACCUAGGAUGAGAGAGAGCUAAUUACUUCUCAAGACUUCUGAAGAGAAGUUCAGAAGACUUAAGCAGAACAUUUAGAUCUGUGAAAAUUUAUAAACAUUUUUCAUACGGCAGGUCUUUUGUAGACCCCUUGAUAAAUAGUCAGCAGUGUGAUGGCUACAAUAUUAAAGCCUCAUUUCUAGAGAUAUUUCUACCAUCAGAUCAAAGCAUCACAAUAUUUCACCUGGUAUCAAACUGAAAGCAGAUUCUGUUUUCAUUAAGGGCUGAAACAAAAAUGCACGGCACCUGAACCCAACAGGCUCACUCACCUUCAGCAUUUUGCAUGUGAUCCCCUCACUGCAGAGUGCUUGUGGGUUUUGCCUCUCCCCCCCCCCCCCAAAACCCGCUGUGCAGAGGUACAUCCAGCAGAGCUGUAUGCAUGGAUGUGUCGUCAAUAGUACCAUUCAUAUGGUAGCUCUCCACGUUAGUCAUCUGUCAGGGUGAGGUCCUUUUGCUCCACUUCAAACGUUCCUGAAAUCCAGAGGGGGUCUGAUUUCAUGGGUCCAGAAGAGGUUUCUCACAAAAACAGAGACAUUUUCAAGAUAUUCAGAACCACAAAUCCAGCCCCCAUUGAAUUUCAGUUUCCCUUACAGGUCGUUAUUGUUUUCACCACUUUAUGGCAGUACUGGCCAAAAUCAAUCUUUUACAGCUCCACUUCCUACUCAUACUAAAAGAAAAAGGUUGGGGCACUUAAUUAGAGCUAUUUAUAUUUUCAAAAUGAGGAAGACAUUCUGAAAAAGAAAUUGUUUUUGCAGCCAAUUCAGGGACCUUCUGUCUACAAAAUCUGCUCUAGACACUUUCCCACCACAACUUUCUUUCCAUUAUUAGGAACUUACACCAUGUUGUAUUUAGCUUGGUAUUUUGCCAGAAAAUGUUCUUUAGGUCUCUAUAGUACAAAAUCUGACAGAAAGCAUAACAGAGGGGAAAAAAAAAGAAAAAGAAAAAAAAAAAAAAAGGUAUUUUUAAGUCCCUACUUUUUUCCAUUUUCCCAUCAGAAAAAUUUUUUAAAAAAAUAUUAUUAAUAUAAAUCCAUCUCUGUUCCAGUUUUUGCUCUGGUUAUUUAUACCCUUUAAAUAUGAUCCAUGUAGAGAAGUCCAAAGUUAUUAAAUCUGUUCAGAUAGUCCUUCAAUCUAUUCAGGAGCUGAGUGUACCUGGCACAAGUACCGAGUAUUUCCUUUUGGUUUCUGAGCUAGAAGCAAGACUUGAAGUAAAUGAUUUUCUGCUAUGAUAAUGAUGAUACUACCAGACGUCCUGAGUGGAAAAGGCCAGGGAGGUUCGGAAUCUGACUCACGUUCUGAUAUUGUCUCUUUCUUUUUUAACCUAGGAAAACUCAGCUCAGAUUCCGUCUGUGGUUUUCAGCAAGAAUACUGCUUUUCCCUUCUUCCCGCACAAUUUUCCAGCCAGAUUGACUGAACUACAGAAAGGUCAAAUGACUUGCUUGGAGGGCUUCUUGGAUGAAACAUGAAGAAGAAAGGCCUUUAAAACAUUGUCCUUUGUGUGGAAAGACAUUGCUGAUUCCUCCAGCUGAUCUGCUGCCUUUGCAGAUGAUUUCUGGCUGUCAAGUGGCAAUCAGUUGAGGUCUGAGGGGAUGAGGAGAACUGUGACGUGACCACAGAAAGCCAAGCAGAGUUUCACUGUGGGAAUGUCUCCUCUGUCUCUUCCUCUCUGCCCGUCCCAUCCUUCUGCUGAAACUCACCGAGCUGGACUCUGACCAGCCAGCGGAAAGCACCCUGCAUCACUUCUGCUUCAUGUGCCUCCGACGGACCGCGUGACCGGUCAGACCACACCAUCUGGUGAAGGAAGGCAGAAAACGAGGAACUCGAUGACGGUGCAUGACAGAACCAGUGCGCUGAACCAGUGACGUCCCCGCGGGUCUCGGGGAACCCAUGAGAAAAGGUUUUUGUAACAUUACCCUGUUGCCUGAAUCCGGGCUGCUGCUGACUGACUGCCAGCUCCCAGAUUAAAUAAUCAGGCCACGGUUACGAGUCCCCAUGCAAGCAGCCACCUCCAACUCAGGAAUCAGCAGUGGCCAGCCAUGAGGUCCAUUGUAAAGCCAUCUCCUUCCAUGUACAGUUGCUUCUUUGCUGCAUAAGUAUUAUUUGCUAAUUUUAGAAACUGUAGGCUGUUUUAUUGCUGGAUCAGUGGGACCUCAAGAAUUUCUCAAACUGAAGUCACCUAUAGUAACCAUCACACUUUCUUCUUUCCUGCAUGAAAGAUGGCUCCUGAAAGAAGGAGUCAGAAUUUUCUUUUCCUUGUCUGAGUCAUCUUGAGAGCUCCCCAUACUUCCUCUCUCGGGUUUCUCAUAGGAGACCAGCAUCACCCAAAAUCAGCAUCCCCUGCUCUGAGCGAGUCUCAAGUGAUCAGCACCCAGGGCAGCCAGGACACAUCCAUCUUGACACUUCUUCCAUGCCUGGUGAGACCACAGCAUCAUGGUGUUGGAGGGUUUUCAGCACAGCCAGGCUCAUAGUAUUAUUUUUACUCUUAUUUCCCGUUGCCAGUUACCUACAUUCCCAGAAUUAAUGUGUGGAGAUCUGAAUAAAUAAAUAAAUUAAUUAAUUAAUUAAAUGUUUAUUCUUUGACUUCUUCACCAGAUCAGUUUGCCUUGGUUUUGUCACACUGAAUUUAAGAUUCCUCCCUGCUUGCCUUGACUUACUAAUUUAAAAUCAACCAGAAAAUACACCUGGGAUGAUCCCAGCCUGGUGGUCUGAAGUGCAGGGCACCUGGGUGUUUGACAACACCAGUGCUGCCAGAUUCACACCCGCCAACAUGGUCCUGGUAUUUUCUGCCACCUCCAAGCUCCUGCUCAGAGAAGCAGGGGUCUCUAUCACUUGGGACUUUUCUUCUUCAUUCCUACUACCAUCAUUCCUACAUGCUGCUACCUGCUCGGGAUACCUUUAAUACCAAUAGCUUCAAUACUUUGAAUACACAUCAAAAUACCAUGGAUGAAAUUUUUUGGAGUUUUUUUUUCUGUUUGUUGUUGUUGUUAGUAGUGGUGGUUUUUUGUUUUGGUUUGGUUUGGUUUGGUUUUUAAGUUACCAAUUUAUUGGGACUGUGAAGAUUCACAAUAGCAAAAACACAGGCGACUUUUGUGGCCUAUCAAACAUAAAUUGGCUGAACAGCCAAGUGGUUUGCUAUAAAGUACAUUUCUAAAUGAAUAGCUUUGUACAUCAACCUUCCAAGCUGUUGUGAAAGUCCUGUUGUGUACCAACCAUCAGCAUUUUAACAUCUUUAGAAAUCAUGCCCUACAGGUUAGCUUCAGUUUAGGCUUUUUGCUAGCAUGGUGAUCCCCACGCUACAGCAGUGCAGAUGCUUAAACUAAUCCAGCUGUGGAAUAAGAGUCUGCUUUGCAAUUCUUUAUUUAUUUUUUUUAACAACCAUUUCUAGCCAAAUAAGACUAUAACUUAAUUGCAUGAGUUUAUAAGUGAAAGGAAAACAUAAACAUGUUUUGUUUCAAUAUAGCAUAACCAACUAUUUAACUGAUUUUUAGAUCCAUGUAGGCAUUUCUGCCAUGAAUACUUUAUAAUCACAACUGAAAUUGCUGAUGACUUUUUUCUGCAGU
Molecule: non-coding RNA, 10641 nt
Organism: Anas platyrhynchos (mallard)
Lineage: Eukaryota; Metazoa; Chordata; Aves; Anseriformes; Anatidae
Source: RefSeq, a predicted model, not a curated record